GCCGUCGUGGACCGAGGCGGUCGCCCUCAUCCAAUCAUUUGUACCCAUAUCUGUAUGCGAGGGAGGCGGGGGUUCGAUUCCCCCCGGCGGCA
Mycena rosella is the source of this 92-nucleotide non-coding RNA. The record is from the annotation of a GenBank genome assembly. NCBI's taxonomy places the organism in Eukaryota, Fungi, Basidiomycota, Agaricomycetes, Agaricales, Mycenaceae.